UAGCUAGUUGGUAGGGUAAAGGCCUACCAAGGCGACGAUCGGUAGCUGGUCUGAGAGGAUGGCCAGCCACACUGGAACUGAGACACGGUCCAGACUCCUACGGGAGGCAGCAGUGGGGAAUAUUGGACAAUGGGGGGAACCCUGAUCCAGCAAUGCCGCGUGUGUGAAGAAGGCCUGAGGGUUGUAAAGCACUUUCAGUGGGGAGGAGUGUUGAUAGGUUAAGAGCUAAUUAACUGGACGUUACCCACAGAAGAAGCACCGGCUAACUCCGUGCCAGCAGCCGCGGUAAUACGGAGGGUGCGAGCGUUAAUCGGAAUUACUGGGCGUAAAGGGUGCGUAGGUGGUUUAUUAAGUUAUCUGUGAAAUCCCUGGGCUCAACCUGGGCAGGUCAGAUAAUACUGAUAGACUCGAGUAUAGGAGAGGGUAGUGGAAUUUCCGGUGUAGCGGUGAAAUGCGUAGAGAUCGGAAGGAACACCAGUGGCGAAGGCGGCUACCUGGCCUAAUACUGACACUGAGGCACGAAAGCGUGGGGAGCAAACAGGACUAGAUACCCUGGUAGUCCACGCUGUAAACGAUGUCAACUAGCUGUUGGUUAUAUGAAUAUAAUUAGUGGCGC
This 616-nucleotide ribosomal RNA is filed under the name uncultured Legionella sp. RNAcentral's name for it is "bacterial SSU rRNA". It matches the Rfam family "Bacterial small subunit ribosomal RNA", at positions 242 to 849 of the family's 1533-position model. The record is from RNAcentral. Lineage: Bacteria; Pseudomonadati; Pseudomonadota; Gammaproteobacteria; Legionellales; Legionellaceae.